AUGAACGCUAGCGGCAGGCUUAAUACAUGCAAGUUGAGGGCAGCAUGAUAUACGCGAGUAUAUUGGAUGGCGACGGCGGACGGGUGAGUAAUAGGUAGGAGACCUACCUCAUACAGGGGGAUAGCAUAGAGAAAUCUGUGGUAAUACCCCAUGAAGGUUUAUAUGAAUAGAGGCAUAUAAUCAAAGCAUAAGCGAUUAUGCGGUAUGAGAGGGGCCUACUGACCAUUAGCUAGUUGGUGAGGUAAGGGCUCACCAAGGCGAAGAUGGUUAGGGGUUUUGAGAGAGAGACCCCCCACAUUGGAACUGAGAGACGGUCCAGACUCCUACGGGAGGCAGCAGUAGGGAAUAUUGGGCAAUGGGCGAAAGCCUGACCCAGCCAUGCCGCGUGAAGGAAGACGGCCUUAUGGGUUGUAAACUUCUUUACUACGCGAAUAGAGGUUAGUACGAGAUACUAAUAGGAAGGUAGUGUAGUAAAAAGCACCGGCUAACUCCGUG
RNAcentral lists this ribosomal RNA (495 nucleotides) under uncultured bacterium. RNAcentral's name for it is "bacterial SSU rRNA". It matches the Rfam family "Bacterial small subunit ribosomal RNA", at positions 30 to 507 of the family's 1533-position model. The record is from RNAcentral.